RNAcentral lists this RNase P RNA (339 nucleotides) under Erysipelothrix sp. RNAcentral describes it as "RNase P RNA component class B". It matches the Rfam family "Bacterial RNase P class B". From Rfam's summary of the family: Ribonuclease P (RNase P) is a ubiquitous endoribonuclease, found in archaea, bacteria and eukarya as well as chloroplasts and mitochondria. Its best characterised activity is the generation of mature 5'-ends of tRNAs by cleaving the 5'-leader elements of precursor-tRNAs. Cellular RNase Ps are ribonucleoproteins. The record is from RNAcentral. Lineage: Bacteria; Bacillati; Bacillota; Erysipelotrichia; Erysipelotrichales; Erysipelotrichaceae.
AAAAAGAGAUAAUCGCUGCAUUCUUUGUAAUGUAGAGGAAAGUCCAUGCUCGCACCAUCUGCGAUGAUGGUAGUGAUUGUGCUUGAUGAAACGAUAAAUCAAGGCAUAGAAAUAUGACGGCGGCCAAACUCCUAAAGGGAAACCCACGGAGAAUUAACCAUAAAGUGCCAUAGAGACGAGUCAAUUUGGAAACAGAUUGAGUGGAACGUGGUAAACCCCACAAGCGAGAAACCCAAAUUUGGUAGGGGAACCCUAAUAGCGAAUUGAAGCGAAAAAGGGACAGGAAACUGUAGAUAAAUGAUUAUCCCGAUGAUUCGGAACAGAACAUGGCUUACAUUU